AACGAACGCUGGCGGCAUGCCUAACACAUGCAAGUCGAACGAGAUCUUCGGGUCUAGUGGCGCACGGGUGCGUAACGCGUGGGAAUCUGCCCUUUGGUUCGGAAUAACAGUUGGAAACGACUGCUAAUACCGGAUGAUGACGAAAGUCCAAAGAUUUAUCGCCAGAGGAUGAGCCCGCGUAGGAUUAGCUAGUUGGUGUGGUAAAGGCGCACCAAGGCGACGAUCCUUAGCUGGUCUGGGAGGAUGAUCAGCCACACUGGGACUGAGACACGGACCAGACUCCUACGGGAGGCAUGAGUGGGCAAUAUUGGACAAUGGGCGAAAGCCUGAUCCAGCAAUGCCGCGUGAGUGAUGAAGGCCUUAGGGUUGUAAAGCUCUUUUACAAGGGAUGAUAAUGACAGUACCUGGAGAAUAAGCUCCGGCUAACUCCGUGCCAGCCGCCGCCGCAG
RNAcentral lists this ribosomal RNA (449 nucleotides) under uncultured bacterium. RNAcentral describes it as "partial 16S ribosomal RNA". It matches the Rfam family "Bacterial small subunit ribosomal RNA", at positions 29 to 523 of the family's 1533-position model. The record is from RNAcentral.